UUAAAAAGUUAUGAUUCUCUUUAUUUUUAUUCUCAAUACUUUUUAUAUAGUUUUAAAAAUAUAUACAUAAUACCAUAAUAUGUAUUAAAUUAAAUUUUUCUAACAUACAAUUUAUAAUAAGCAGAGAUUUAUGAUUGAUAUUAGCUAUAAUUAGCUUUAACAUUACACAAGACAACCAAACCCAAAGCAACUAUAGCCACUUUAUUUUAUUUUAAAAAAGCAAACAUAUAUGAUAUGCUUUUUCUACAUUAUAUCAUUACAUAUAUUGCCUCCAAUAUCUCUGCUUCAACCUUUCAUGUGUUGCACUUCAUUUGCAGUUGCAAGGGUCACAAGUGCAGCUAUCACCACACUUGCAGCCACCAUCCUCAGCUGCAACACUCAUUUCAGCACCAUCAAACUGGAUCUUCGCCGGACCGACGCCAAGAAUCACGGUUUCUGUGGUUUCCAUUUCGGAGUAGCUCAAUCCACUAGACCUCUUGUUGCAUCUGCACAGCAAUAAAAAUCAAAAUAAUCCAAUAAAAUAUUAACAAAUUUUUUGCAAGAUUGAUUCUUAAGAAAAAAAAUAAAUACCAACAGAUUAAUAACCAUAUAGAAAAAAAUAAUUAUAUAGAUUUUAAUGUAAGGAAGAGUUAAGGUGGUGGAUCCUUACUUGCAGCUAUCACCACAGUUGCAACUGCUUCCACAACCACAGCUAGACAUAUUUUCAGAAACUAAGAUUUUUUUUGCAAACAACAAUUGAUAUUAAUUGCUUGGUUAGUGUUAUCUUCUAUAAAAGUGGUGUCUUUUAAUGAUGCUGUGUGACUCCAAUUUAUAAGGUGGAAGAGAAUAAUCAGUGAAAUCUUGACCGUCCACGUGUUGUAAUCUUGUGUUGUAUGGGUCCACAAGCCUACGCUUGGAUCAAUUCCUAGUAGACAUCGUUUUCAUUGCACGUCUUAUUGUGGUGUUGGCGAUAAAAUUGUUGCAUGCUUGCUGAUUGGUUUUCACAAAACAUGAUAUUUUAUUGAUUUUAUAAAUUUACUUUUAUUAACAAAUCAUAUUUGAAUAUAAAAGUCACCGCAACGUUUUUGCUUUUUGUACUUUUGGAGAAACAAUUGUUUGAUGAGAAAUAGAAUUUUGAAGCGGUAGGAUAAGUUUUCGGUACGAUAGAGAGAAGUUAAUAGUGAAAAAGUUAAAAAUAUAUAAUGAGGAAGAAUGAAUUUGAUUAUUUAAAAAUGACAUUUUUUUUCUUUUAUGGUUGAGGUGGUUAAAACCGCAAGCGAGGAGUGUGGCGUGAAUUGUCAUCACUGGUUCGAUUGAUCUGGACUGUUGAUAAUGUUUUAGAGGUGAAAUUGUCUAUUCUCAACGAGGAUGGAGGAACACUUGUUUCUCGCAUGCGCUCCUUUGCUUAGGUUUCGUCCAUUGCCUUGUGAGCGGCCACAAAUUGUUGUCCCCAAACCCUUGCUAUUGCUUUGUAAGAUACGUGUUUGCUAUAUACGUUCUAGACCGAUUGAUUGGCAUGAGGAGAUGAAGAGCUCUGAUGGGACAUCACUAUUAUUGGUAACAUACACAUUAAGUAUCUUUCUAGUAAUAAAUCUGAUGUGUGUUCCUAUGCUAGUUCCUAAUGAUUCUUCGUCUUCCUUAGAGAACUUAAGUACUUUGCAUAAUCUUUGAUGAAAUAUCGAUCGUCGAUGGUGCGUAGUAGAUCAUAUGAUCUCUAGUGGUAAAGGCACAUAUAAAAGAUCUCUAAAGCAUCAUUUUUCUAUUUAUUGUCAUCUGCAACCUGUGAAAGAUCUUAUUCUUGUCUUGCCAACUUCGUUCUUUAUCGAUAACUCUUUAAUUCUAGUUUCUUGCCUAAGCUCACAUGCAAUUUUCGUUUGGUGGCCUUUGAUACGCACACCAACCUACUUGUUUUAAGGUAAAGCCAAUGACUUAUUCUUGCUUUUGCCUUUUUAUAGUAUUUUUUGGACAAUGAGUUUUUUAGAAUGGACAUUCCAUCUUACAUAUUUUGCAAGGAAAUGAGGAUAUUUAUGUUGGACAAGCAUUAACUACCAUACAACGUAAUAUACCUACUAAGACUUCUGAGUCUCAUUUCCCUUGAAGGAGGAACACACAUACAUGUACUUUUUAACUAGUACAAUGACGUCCAUCGUGGGUCUUUGUAAAACUAUCAUAUGCCACACCGUGUUCAUCACCAUCACCCUGCAUGUUGUUACCCUUCACUCAUACACCUAGCCAUUUACAUCCAUGGCAAACAGGAGAGCUUCAUCCCCACACCAGAAGAUACCAGUAGUAUUGGUGAUGUCGAUGCUCUAGCAGAGAUGCGUGCCUCCAUGGAUGAGUUACGUCGCUAUAACCACACGCUGGAGGAUGAUGUCCACAAUAUCAAACAACGCCAAUAGGAUUCCAAUCCCUAGAGGAGAUGUAAAUGUUAGACCCCUAGCCGCUCUCAGAUGAGAUAUGGGGGAUAUAUGCCCCGAGGGUUUCAAACAUCCAUACUUGGCCAAUUUUGAUGGGCGCAAAGAUCCCUACGAGCAUGUCGCCUCCAUCAAUACAAAGAUGGCCAUUAUAGGAGUACCUGCCUCCCUGAAGUACAAGCUGCUAUCUAGCAUUUUUAGGGACGUCGCCCUUCGAUGGUAUAUGGGUUUAUCCGUGCCUCCAUCAACAACUAUCAUAAACUGGUAAAGAAGUUAGUACACCAAUUCCUCGCCACAGAAAGAUGUCCACCACACGCCUAUUUAACAUAUGUCAGGGUCCAUCAAAGUCUCUGAGGGGCUACUUCUACUGCUUUAACGAGGCCACCAUCAAGGUCGUCCCACCUAACCAAAAAUGUUUAUGGUGGCAUUCCAAAAUAGAGUUGAGGCAUAACAAUUUAACGAGUCCCUCCCCCAUAAGCCAACAUUUUAGUUGGCAGAAGUGGUCACUAGAGUAGAGUCCUACAUAAAGGGUGAUGAGAAUAACAAUGAAAAAAAGGCGCACGAUGUCAAAGAGCACGUUCCCAAGGUCGGUGGCUCACAUCACCAGAGGAAGAGAAAUUAUACCUCAACCAUAAGCCAACAUUUUAGUUGGCAGAAGUGGUCACUAGAGUAGAGUCCUACAUAAAGGGUGAUGAGAAUAACAAUGAAAAAAAGGCGCACGAUGUCAAAGAGCACGUUCCCAAGGUCGGUGGCCCACAUCACCAGAGAAAGAGCAACUAUACCUCACCCAAAAAGGACCAUACUACAUUCAAAAGGGUAGGUAAGGUGGCAGAGAACUUCAAACCCUUGAACACUCACCACGAGCUAAUCUGGUACGAGGUUCUCCACCUUCACAACAUCCCUCUGGCGCCUACUCCUAAGACAAAUGUGAUGGGUUCUGAAUUGUUUAGGUGGUGCAAGUUCUAUAUUAUCAAGGGACACCACACCGAAGAUUUCUACUAACUCAAAUAGGAAAUCACUAGAUUAAUACAUGAGGGAAACCUCAAGAAAUAUGUGAGGCGCAACUCCCCCCAUUCGGAAAAUAAGUAUAACCCGCGAAGGCGAGACGAUGUUGGAAGCCCUAGACCCAAAAAAUCCCAAGAUGAUCUUUAAGAAGUAGGUAGUAAAAAUGCGUACCACACACUUAACACCGUAGCUUAAGGAUUAGCCAGGGCAGGGAAACCAACUCCGCCCAAAGCAGGUAUGCUCGCCAGAUCCUGAGUAUGGAAAACCUCCUUAAAGUUAAGACCGAAAGCAAGCGCCAAAUUCACAAGCCAUGAUCGCCUUCUCGGGGAAAGAUGCAGUUGUCAUCCAUCCUCUUAACUAUGACCCCGUGGUCAUUACCGUUAAGUGCGAAAGUUAGGGAAUUAAAAGAGAUAACAUGUACGUGUACGUGUAAAUGGGCAUAUCACCUUGAGGAUCACUUUUAGAUAGCAGGAAAAAGAGAUAAAAGUCAAAUAUCUGGUUAGUGAUGCCCCUUCUUCGUAUAAUAUGAUUAUAGGGCGACCGACCUUUAACCUGCUGGGCGACACCUUGUGAAAUAUGUAUUUGUGCAUGUCUCGAAUAGUUCUUUAUAGAAAAUAUUUGUUUGUUGGUUGAUUUUAGAGAAUAAUGUUUAGGUCGCAUUCAAGCGGUUUAACAUCUACUUGUAUGCUCGCACUAUGGAGGCUGGAUCAUCUGUUUAUAAUUCGUGUAGCAAUGGAUAAAACACUAUUCUUUUAUGAAAAAGUUUAUUUUGAUUGCAUCAGAGUAAAAAGUUAGUUUGGUGAGCUGAGAUUGAUUUUAGGUGGAAGACGAGUAACUGGUUCCAGCAAAGUGUACACUAAGCCUCCGAUACUCGAGAAACAAACAAAAAUACAUUCACCUGCUCCCUUUCUAAUCCAAGUUAAUUUAUAUAUAUUUUUUUAAGUUAACUAAUUACGUUCAUUAUAAUUGAUUCAGUUUUGAAAAUGGAUUUGAUGUAGGUUAACUUGUAAACAUGAUGAUUUAAUUGAAAAUAAUUUGAUUUUUCUUAUUUAUUGUGACAACUAUUCAAUUUGAUUUUUUAUGGAGAAUAAAAAUAGAUUUUUGAUUAUUAGCAUUCACAAUGUUCAUAAAAAUCCUGAAAUCAUCAAUUUAAUUAAUUAUAAAAAAAACAAAUAGCAAAAAUUUAAAACAAGAAAAGGGUGCAAACAAAGGUAGUAAAUUAAAACAAUGGUAUUGAAGUCAAAAAAUACAAAAAAAAGGGAAAGAAAUAAAGGGGGCGUGUGGUAAAAGAGGAGAAUGCCUAAUUGAGAGGGGCCCAAAGCUGGUCAAUAGGGGAAAGGGAGUUGACUUCGUGUGGGCCGCCUGAUUGCAUCAAGCGACCAUGAUGCGUUGUGCAUGAUAAGGCUAGUGAAUGGGGUAGUGUAGGAUCAUGGGAAAGAGAAAAGGAGGGAUCACGCCAUGUGGCGCAUUAUCUGCCACAUAAACUAGUCAAUAGUCAACUACAACAAACGGCCCAGAUUAAUUAUGAAUUUAAGCUUCUUCUUCCCCACUCAUGCAAGGCCAAUUGCACAAUAACAACAUCAAUGACUACUUUUUCUUUGAAAAUCACCUAAUAUGCAUAUAAUUUAACAAAUAAAUAUGCAAAAUUCAUCUAUGAAUCGUCAUGAACAUGAAUCCAUGAUCAAAGUGUAUUAAUUAACAACAAAAAAUGGUGAGAAUUAGGAUUUAAAGUAAACCUGAAUUUGAUUGAGUGGCUCGAUCCGGCCAUAACUUGAUGUUUUGAAUCACUUUGCAUUUUUUCUUCAAACGGUUGAUUUUUUAAUUUUCCGGGUUUUUGUUCUUGAAUGUUCAUGAACACUCAUGAACAUCAAUAACACUAAGAACACCAAUUUUUCAGAAAUUCAUAUUUCAAUUUAUUUUGAACAAAUGAUUAAAGGAUAUAAAACAUAGUAAGUGUAGAAACAAUUUUAUGUAAAAAAAAUCACACAAAAUACAAUGGUCAAGCCUUACCUAAGCGAAAAAACCUCAAGAAUGCGAUGAACACUGAUGAGCAACCCAAAUUCCGAUCAAGCUCCAAUAUUGCUCCAUCUAAACUCGUUUUUCAUGUCUCUUUGUAGAUCUAAACACCUAUUUAUCUUCUAUACCUCAUUCCAUCAUAAUUUCACAAUUUCUACAUUUUUUUUCAAAAUCGAGUUCAAAAUGGAUUUGCGCGAAUUUGAGUUUUGGUGUAGUUGUGUGUAGUUUUUUUUUGUCUAUACUAUGUAAUUGGACUCAUAUUUAUAAUAAUUUUCAUGUUAACAUAAAAGGAAAACAAGUCAUAGUGACAAAUCGCGACCAAUUAAAAACAAGCAUGACAAAUUGCGACCAAUUAGAAACAAGUAUGACACAUUGCAACCCUUUGAACAUGUAUGAUCAAAGAUCGUCGUCAACCUGAAAGAUCGGUGCUUAGAUCAAAGAUAAAAAUAUCUUCGUCAACCCGAAGGUCGAUGCUUACAUCAAGGAUAAAAAGAUCGUUGUCAACUCGAAGGUUGAUGCUUAGAUCAAGGAUAAAAAUAUCGUUGUUAACCCGAAGGUCGAUGCUUAGAUCAAGGAUAAAAAGAUCGACGUCAACCCGAAAGUCGAUGCUUAGAUCAAGGAUAAAAAGGUUGUUGUCAACCCAGAGGUUGAUGCUUAUAUCAAAGUUAAAAAGAUCAUCGUCAACCCGAAAGUUGAUGCUUAGAUCAAACAUGAAAAGAUCAUCGUUAACUUAGAAGCUUGAUGCUAAAAUCGUGGGAUAGGUCGUCGCCAACUCAAGGGUCAGCGCUUGGACCUACAAAUGAGAAAAGAUCACCGUCAACCCAAAGGUCGAUGCUUAGAUCAAAUAGGAAAGGAUCAUCGUUAAUAUGAAGAUUAAUACUUAGAUCAACAUAGGACAAGUUUGUCAUCAACCCGAAGCUCGACGUUUAGAUCACGGUAAAGUGAUCAUCGUCAAUCCGAAGAUUGAUGCUUAGAUCAAGGUGAGAUAAAUCAUCACCAACCAAAGGGUCAGUGCUUAGAUCGCACAUGAUAAGAUCAUCAUUAACAUGGAGGUUGAUGAUGCCUUAGAUCAUUACAGGACAAGAUCGUCGUCAACCCGAAAGUCAAUGCUUAGAUGAAGACAAACUGAUCAUCGUCAACCCAAAGGUCGAUGCUUAGAUCAAGGAUAAGAUCUAAGAAUGAUGAUUAGAUUAACAGAUAGAUCAUGGCCAACCCAAAGGUUAAUCCUUAGAUCAAACAAGAAAAUAUCUUCGUCAACUUGAGAGACCACACAAAUUCAAAUCAGUCGGAAAUUCAAGUGGAAGCAGUUGAGAAAGUUACGAUUGGUACAAGCACGAAAGAAAGUUUUUCUGUCAACUAGUGCAAUAUUGAAACCACACCACCAAAACUAGAUAAUAUUGAGAGACUAUCAAUUAUAUUCGAAAGUAUUCCAAACCCGUUCCUGGAUAUUACAUUAAGUCAUGAUCCAAGUCAAUUAUUUGUACUUUCUAAGGAUUCAAAUAAUGAAGAUUUGAAGGGACAUGAGUACCUAGACAAUUCCAUAUUACAAAUUUGGUGUUCGUAAGUAUAGCUUUUAUGUUGAUUUUUAUUUAUAUUCAUAAGUUCUUGUACAUUAACAUAAAGAUUUGACUCUUGCAGGUUCAUGCAUGAGUUCUGUGUUGAAAGUAAUACAAAUAAGUAGUAUUUCUUAGAUCCAUCGCGGCUUGGUCUUACUCACGGUUCGACAGGAAACAAUAUCUUUGUUUACAUACAAGAAAAGUUGAAAGAGAACAAAGAGUAUUAUUUGGUCCGUUUUUACUGUGAGUAAGUAUAUAUUAAUUUGUAUUUUCCUUUAUAAAUCAAAUUUAUACAUAUUAUUAAUUAUUCUGAAUUUUUAUGCAUUGAACAUUGACAACUAAUUGUUAUAUGUCCGAGGAAAAAUGUUAUAAUUGUGUUUUGCUCGUUGCGCUUUGUGCUGCCUAAAGUUGUGGUUAACACUUUGAAUGCGUAAGUGGUAUUAUUCUUAAUAUUCAAAUUUUAAUUUUAGAUUUGAAUAGUUUCUAUUCAUUUUUAAUUUUAACCAACAUGUGUAGAAUGAUUGAAGAACAUAAUGCAAUCAAACAAAAUUUACUUGGUUAAAAGCCAAACUAUGGAUAUCCAAAAGUAAGUAUACUACUUGUGCUUUUUGACUGUAUUAUUUGUGUGUAUUAGUGGUAUAAAUAUAUGAAAUUAUUCGUAGUGACGAAAACAACCCAACAACUAUUCUUGGGGAUACUAUGUUAUAAGAUAUAGACAUUACAAAUGGAUGGAUGAAGCACCAGGUAUACAUAUAUAUACACAUAUUUAUAUUUCUUAAGUUAAUGUUGUUGUUGUUAGCUUAUCGUAGUUUAAAGUUUGUUUUAAUUAUGAGUUUAAUGACAGAACACCAUACUCAAAAGAAGAUAUAAAUGACAUCCGAUCACAUUGGAUCAUUGCCUUCUAUUCAUUUUUUUUUGAAUCUUGACAACAAUAAUUUUUCUUGGUUGUUAUAAUAUUAAUUUGUAUAUGUACAUAGGUUUUGUCAUUUUUAUAUGCAAAUAUGUAAAUGUGUGUAUUUUGUAUUGAUGAGAAUAAUGUAAAUGUGUACAUUUGGUUUUGAAAGCAAUGAUAAUUUAUUAUUAUGUAUUUAAAAGAUUUAAAAUGAUAUGAUAUAUUUCAAUUUUGUCAUAUAUUUUGUAAUUUCUAUAUAAGAAAUGAUACAGGUCAGUGAAAAUAAGAUUUACAACAAUGUAAAUUUGAUAUUAUGUGUUUACAGGCUAAUGAAAAUAAGAUUUAUAAUGAUAUGAUACAAACUAGUGAAAAUAAAAUUUAUAAUGAUAUGAUACAAGCCAGUGAAAAUGAGAUUUAAAACAAAUUAUAUAUGAAAAUAAAUAAGAUUUAACCCCUCGAUUAUCACCUAAAAUCAAAGUAAAAGUAUACCUUAUUACCUCAAUUUUAAAUAAAACCGAGAGGUAUAUGACACACGCAACAAAAUUUGGAAAAUAAAAAUAUGUUAUUGCUAGGGAUCGAACCAAUGACCAUUUACUUUCUAAAAUCGAGGAAAAAAUGGCAAGUUAUCAUGUCACCCUUCGUUACCUCGUAUGUGUAAUCGAGAUAAAAGUCAUUUCGCGACAGAGAUAAGAUGUGUUAUUUAUAAUAGUGUUAUCAAUUGGAUAUGGCAAGAUCACGGGAAAGAGAAAAGGGGGACAACUACAUGUGACACGAGAUCUGACACAGAAACUAGUCAACAAACAACUGCAACGAAUGGUCCUGAUUACUUUUGGAUUUAAGCUUCUUUUUCCCUACUCAUGCAAGACCAAUUGCACAACAACAACAAUGAUUAUUUUUUCUUGGAAAAUCACCAAAUAUGCAUGGAAUUGACAAAUAAAUAUGCAAAAUUCAUCUACGAAUCAUCACGAACAUGAAUCUAUGAUCAAAGUGUAUCAAUUAACAAUAAAAAAUGACAAAAAUUAGAAUUUAAAAUGAAUUCAAAUUUGACUUUGAGGGACUCAAUCCGGCCAUAACUUAGUGUUUUAGACCAAAAAUAAUAAUUAAUUUAAAAAUAUAUACAUAAUACCAUAAUGUAUAAGAUUUGUCUAAACAUACCAUUUAUAAUAAGCAGAGAUUUAUGAUUGAUAUUAGCUAUAAUUAGCUUUAACAUUACACAAGACAACCAAACACAAAGCAACUAUAGCCACUUUAUUUUAUUUUAAAAAAGCAAACAUAUAUGAUAUGCUUUUUCUACAUCAUAUCAUUACAUAUAUUGCCUCCAAUAUCUCUGCUUCAAACUUUCAUAUUCAUUUGCAGUUGCAAGGGUCACAAGUGCAGCUAUCUCCACACUUGCAGCCACCAUCCUCAGCUGCAACACUCAUUUCAGCACCAUCAAACUGGAUCUUCGCCGGACCGACGCCAAGAAUCACGGUCUCUGUGGUUUCCAUUUCGGAGUAGCUCAAUCCACUAGACCUCUUGCUGCAUCUGCACAGCAAUAAAAAUCAAUUAUACAUAUUAAUAUAUGUUUUUAAUUUAUGGACGGCUAAAGGGAAACCUUAUCUUAUUUUAAUACCAUCAAAAAGCUUUUUAAGAUAUUCAAGUGACAAUUGAUUCAAUAUUGGCCAUCAAUUCAUAGUCUUUAGACAGUUAAAAUCUGAAAGAGAAAAAUCUAUGGAGAGAAUUAAAGACAAAAACUUUUGUUUUCUUCUUUUGAGGCAGCUAAUAAAAGACAUAACUCUUUACAAAGUAUCUACUUUUCUUGAGUAGUGAUAAAUCUUUUCAAAAUAUUCUAUAUUUUUGACAAAUAACCAAUAAGAUUGUUGGGUUUAUAUUUUAAUUUAAAACUUCUUAAUUUUAAAAAGUAAAAAUUUAUUUUAGAUUUAAAUUGUCUAAUCCCAAUAAUCAAAUUUCUUAAAACAUUUCAUGUCAAUAAAUCUGAUUUUUAAAUUUUUAAAUGAAUUUAUUUUAAAUUUAAAUUGUUUAAUAAAUUUAAAAAAUCUGAAUUAUAAAAAUCAGGUUAAUCAAUUAUUCAGUAAAUAUGAACUUUAUUUUAAUUUUUGUUUAGAAUAAUAAUAAGAAUGAGGAUAGUCAAAAGUAACCAUAAAAAAUGGAAGUAUCUAAUUUCAUAAAACCCAACCAAAAAGUACUUAAAAAAUACAAUAUUAUAUUAACAAAUAUAUGUAAGAUUCAUUCAUAAGAUAAACAAUAAACUCGAAAGAAUUAAGGUGGUGAAUCCUUACUUGCAGCUAUCACCACAGUUGCAACUGCUUCCACAACCACAGCUAGACAUAUUUUCAGAAACUAAGAUUUUUAAUGGUGCUGUUAUCUUCACUACAAUUGAUGUCUUUUAAUGGUGCUGCGUGCCCU
Molecule: long non-coding RNA, 10268 nt
Filed under: Lathyrus oleraceus (garden pea)
Lineage: Eukaryota; Viridiplantae; Streptophyta; Magnoliopsida; Fabales; Fabaceae
Description: Pisum sativum (pea) long non-coding RNA (PSAT_LNC032235)
Source: RNAcentral